RNAcentral lists this unclassified non-coding RNA (688 nucleotides) under Hevea brasiliensis (rubber tree). Lineage: Eukaryota; Viridiplantae; Streptophyta; Magnoliopsida; Malpighiales; Euphorbiaceae. The record is from RNAcentral.
AAGUCCAACGUCUUGUCGUCAGUAGCUCAUCUCAUAGCAACCCUGAUUAUAACGUUAUGUUAAAGGUGCAUAAUCCAAAUGGGAAAUCAGGCAUUUUAUACGUGCAAGGCGGAGUUGCUUCCCUCUUCUUUGAAGAGCAAAUAAUGGCUGCCGGAAAGUUUCCAAUUUUCAAUCAAGAUGAAAAUAAUUCAACAGAAAUUGGAAUAGCCCUCAAGGGCUCAAAGAUCAUGUUGCCCAACAAUAUCAAGAAGAGCAUGAAAAGUACAAAACCAAAAGUGAAUGUGUCAUUUUCCCUAAAGAUGAACGUCCCGGCGAGAAUGAAAACUAAUAGCUUCAAAAUUGGGGAUACCAAACUCGUCAUUAUAUGCGAAUUCAAGGUAGACACAUUGGCAAAAGGAACGCAAAUACUUUCUCAGCAAUGUGAAACCAUUCGCUAGUAUUUGUUUUGCAAUUACAUUUGGCUGCGAUAGAUCUUUAGUUUUUCUAUGUUUUAGAUUCUAGUGAUGUGAGGAAACCAUUGGUGAUUGAAUGGUGUUGGAAGUUAGUGUCAGAAUUUAGAAUUGUAUCCUGGGUUAGUAACCCUGACAUGGAGAGACAUUUCUUUUGACUUGUCUUGCUCGCCCUGAUUUUGUCAUCAAGGCAUUGUAGGAUUUUCCCCCCUUUUCUUGUAUCUACCAGUUAAUUAGUG